RNAcentral lists this ribosomal RNA (440 nucleotides) under uncultured bacterium. Its description in RNAcentral is "bacterial SSU rRNA". It matches the Rfam family "Bacterial small subunit ribosomal RNA", at positions 338 to 795 of the family's 1533-position model. The record is from RNAcentral.
CCUACGGGUGGCAGCAGUGGGGAAUCUUGCACAAUGGGCGAAAGCCUGAUGCAGCGACGCCGCGUGAAGGAUGAAGGCCUUCGGGUUGUAAACUUCUUUUGCAGGGGAAGAUGAUGACGGUACCCUGCGAAUAAGCCACGGCUAACUCUGUGCCAGCAGCCGCGGUAAGACAGAGGUGGCGAGCGUUGUUCGGAAUUACUGGGCUUAAAGGGCGCGUAGGCGGUGAUGCAAGUCUGGGGUGGAAUCUCACAGCUUAACUGUGGAACUGCCCUGGAAACUGUAUUGCUUGAGUCGGACAGGGGAAGGCGGAAUUCCAGGUGUAGCGGUGAAAUGCGUAGAUAUCUGGAGGAAGGCCUGUGGUGAAGACGGCCUUCUGGGUCUUGACUGACGCUGAGGCGCGAAAGCGUGGGGAGCAAACAGGAUUAGAUACCCUUGUAGUC